UCGAGAAUCUUCGGCAAUGGGCGAAAGCCUGACCGAGCGACGCCGCGUGCGGGAUGAAGGCCUUCGGGUUGUAAACCGCUGUCAAUGGGGAGGCCUAUCUUUGGAGGAAGGACGGGCUAAGUUCGUGCCAGCAGCCGCGGUAAGACGAACCGUCCAAACGUUAUUCGGAAUUACUGGGCUUAAAGGGUGCGUAGGCGGUGCUACAAGUCGGGUGUGAAAUCCCUCAGCUUAACUGAGGAACUGCGCCCGAAACUGUAGUGCUGGAGUGAGGCAGGGGUGAGCGGAACUGAUGGUGGAGCGGUGAAAUGUGUUGAUAUCAUCAGGAACACCGGUGGCGAAGGCGGCUCACUGGGCCUUUACUGACGCUGAGGCACGAAAGCUAGGGGAGCAAACGGGAUUAGAUCCUGGUAGU
Molecule: ribosomal RNA, 412 nt
Filed under: uncultured bacterium
Lineage: Bacteria
Description: bacterial SSU rRNA
Rfam family: Bacterial small subunit ribosomal RNA
Source: RNAcentral